UAAGGAAUAUUGGUCAAUGGACGAGAGUCUGAACCAGCCAAGUAGCGUGCAGGAUGACGGCCCUAUGGGUUGUAAACUGCUUUUAUAUGGGGAUAAAGUGGGGAACGUGUUCCCUUUUGCAGGUACCAUAUGAAUAAGGACCGGCUAAUUCCGUGCCAGCAGCCGCGGUAAUACGGAAGGUUCGGGCGUUAUCCGGAUUUAUUGGGUUUAAAGGGAGCGUAGGCCGUUUGGUAAGCGUGUUGUGAAAUGUAGGAGCUCAACUUCUAGAUUGCAGCGCGAACUGUCAGACUUGAGUGCGCACAACGUAGGCGGAAUUCAUGGUGUAGCGGUGAAAUGCUUAGAUAUCAUGAAGAACUCCGAUUGCGAAGGCAGCUUACGGGAGCGCAACUGACGCUGAAGCUCGAAGGUGCGGGUAUCGAACAGG
RNAcentral lists this ribosomal RNA (424 nucleotides) under Verrucomicrobiota bacterium. RNAcentral's name for it is "Verrucomicrobia bacterium partial 16S ribosomal RNA". It matches the Rfam family "Bacterial small subunit ribosomal RNA", at positions 355 to 776 of the family's 1533-position model. Lineage: Bacteria; Pseudomonadati; Verrucomicrobiota. The record is from RNAcentral.